AUCUUCCUCCGAUGGCAGUGGAUGAUUCAUAUACAAUUAAUGCCGGAAGUACAUCCACUGGAACUGUUCUGGAUAAUGAUUUUGAAACGUAUAACGGGCCACAGG
RNAcentral lists this small RNA (105 nucleotides) under Chryseobacterium geocarposphaerae. RNAcentral describes it as "Flavo-1 RNA". Lineage: Bacteria; Pseudomonadati; Bacteroidota; Flavobacteriia; Flavobacteriales; Weeksellaceae. The record is from RNAcentral.